UCCAUUUAUAAGUAGGGUGCCAAGUAAAUAAGGCGAAAGUGAAGUGUGUUGCAAGACAUGCCGGUAGUGAUCAAGUCACUGAACCUAUACUAAGUGUCCURAAUAAGGAAAAUUACAGGAAAAACGAACAAAAGUGCACGACGUAGAAGUAGGAAAGGAUAUGGACUUAUUUUUUGAUGGCGAGAUGGACAUACCUGAUAACACGAAGGGUUUUUUAGUCCCCGAGCUUUUUUGACAACGGUACAUCUUGAAAGAUUUGUAGAAAAAGCCGGUUAAGAAAAAGACGCAAUACGAUUUGAAAAGUAAAUAACACGCGAGAAUUUGAUUCAAAAUUGAUUUUAUAACGUACAUAAUAUGAUAAAAAUAUAACGGAAGGGGAAAAAGUCGUUAGAAAGCUAAGAGCGAGCUACCAAAAACAAAACUAGCACGGCGAGUGAAUGUGAAAAAAAUGCCCCGUGGGGGUAGGAGUGGUAAUAUAGCGCCCUAGGCACGGUGGGUAGGCUGUGUACAUGUAGGCUGGGUACGAAGAAAAAUAACAAAAUGGCGGCUAUGAGGACUAGUGGAACAAAGAUUACAUAUUUUUAUUGGGUAGAAAAACUGAGCGAGUAACAGAUAUAUAGGGUGAGCUAGCGAAUAAUUUUUGGAAAGUGAAUGUCCCGCAAGUGUUCCUUAAAAUCUUGAGAGUGGUAAACCACAGUCCGAUGAAAAGUAAUUCCAGAGUAUAGGUUCAUAGUAGGUGAGUAAUCCUGGUAUAGUAGUUGCGAGUAUAAAUCAUCCUUAAUUGAUAGGACGGUGACCAAACCCAGGCAACCCCAUCCAGGGAGGCGAAGGGGACAGACCCAGAUCCGCAACCCACCCUUCUUUUAUUUCCUUCUUGCAGUACUUAUGGUAUUCCUUUGUUAUGCUUAUGAAGUUUAAAUCACAGAGAUAGCCAGUAUCCCAGUAGAGAACUUUGUGGUGAUAAUUUCAUGGUGGAUGCAUGAUCCACAGAAGAGCCAUCAUUAAUUUUAAAGUUAAAGUGUCAGAGUAGCAUUUGAAGUUUUUCUUUGAAUAUUAAUGUAGGCUUAAAGUAGAAGUGAUUGGACUCCUCAGUUGUAGGGGUAGUGUCAUUAAAGUUCCUUGAUUGUCCCUGGGUGGACGCAAAAUCUAGACCCACCCCACAACACCACCCCAGAAAGGGAGACCCAGGGAUGGUCACCGACCGAGUCACUSAAUUUCAUGUAAUKGAUAGACCUUGUCUUCUUCUUCUUGGAAUAUUAAAAUUGUAAAGUAUCAUGUUUGAGCACUCUUGAACCAAGUGGUAUACCGGGGAUAAGAGCCCCCCAGGGAAGAUAAGUGGUUGUAAACCAUUACUUGGAGUGUUGGAGAGAAAUCUGCGUUCAAGUUUUUCUAAAAAUAUGUUGGCAAAUGAAGGAGCCAUCUUGGUCCCCAUAGCUGUGCCAAAGGAUGGGAUGGAGGGCACAAGCUGUUUAAGGAAGUGAUCCACAAAGGUAGAAAGUUUCUCUGUGGGGGAAUCGCAACCAGAAAUGAUAGGUCUACCAGGUAUGUCAGGUUUGUGUAU
This is a long non-coding RNA of Exaiptasia diaphana, 1561 nucleotides long. RefSeq lists it as uncharacterized. The record is from RefSeq and is a predicted model, not a curated record. The transcript has 4 exons. NCBI's taxonomy places the organism in Eukaryota, Metazoa, Cnidaria, Anthozoa, Actiniaria, Aiptasiidae.